GCGGGUAUGGCGGAAUCGGUAGACGCUGCAGACUUAAAAUCUGUUUCCUGUAUAGGAGUGGGGGUUCAAGUCCCCCUACCCGCACCA
RNAcentral lists this transfer RNA (87 nucleotides) under Alphaproteobacteria bacterium. RNAcentral's name for it is "tRNA-Leu". It matches the Rfam family "tRNA". From Rfam's summary of the family: Transfer RNA (tRNA) molecules are approximately 80 nucleotides in length. Their secondary structure includes four short double-helical elements and three loops (D, anti-codon, and T loops). Lineage: Bacteria; Pseudomonadati; Pseudomonadota; Alphaproteobacteria. The record is from RNAcentral. RNAcentral also lists the same sequence under 1 other name.